Mangifera indica (mango) is the source of this 2158-nucleotide long non-coding RNA. RefSeq lists it as uncharacterized. The transcript has 2 exons. The record is from RefSeq and is a predicted model, not a curated record. NCBI's taxonomy places the organism in Eukaryota, Viridiplantae, Streptophyta, Magnoliopsida, Sapindales, Anacardiaceae.
UGCACCUCUAUUUCUGGUGUUAAUUAAAACCCCCUAACUUUUGCUUUAUACGGUUAAGUUGGGGUUGGUUUAUACAAAUGAACGGGUCCAUCCAACCCUUACAUUGGGCCUUGGCUUUUGAACCAAACUGAUCUAACAAACAAACCCGACCCGAUCUCAGUUUGUGCGUUCUUUUCACGAGUAGCUGAUCUAGGGUUUCGAAUCCUCUCUAUCUAUAUAAACACAACACAGGGUCUCAAGAUUCUUCAUCUUCUUCCAAAUCUUUCUUCUCUUCAAAACAGCCUUCUAGUUUUUGGGUUUUAGCUUUUUCUUCUCGAGUCUUGAUCUGAAUUAUUUAAUGUAUGUGUCUAUCUGCACGAUGCUACCCCGGGCUUCUCUGAAGCUCAUGAUGAAGAAGAAAGCCCCAAAGCUUGUGCUAUACCGACGCUGUUAAGUGUUGCAGUUUAGCCCUUCUCCCACGGCUGAUCUGUGUCAAAUCAACCGCAAUAUUCUUAUACAUAGUUGUGUAUUAUGUUGUGUGUCUCUCCUCACCUUUAGCUCUUUUUCGAUAGAAAUAUUACUCCAAAAUUAUUUUAGUCAUAGAUGCAAAUGAUUAUUCUGCCGGUGCUACACUUUGGUAUAUCUUUUCAAUGGUUUUUGUCUCUGAUUAUUCCUGCUUUGAACAUUAUCACUUCCGGCGAUGAUUAAUUAUUUAUCCGCGCUUCUGAGAGUGAUCUAUGAAGCAGAAUAAAUAAAUGGUUGAAUUUCUUAAUAUGAGCCAGUUUUUUUUAAUGCAUUUUGUUGUUUCAAAGGAAUGUUUUUUGAAUUGAUUCUGGUGAAAUAGUAUUGGCAAUGAGGAUUAUAAUUCAGCUUUAAAUGCCAGUUCUGCUUCAGAAAAUUCUUGAUUGAUAGAGCUGUUCUAUAUUCUGAGCCUGUAAUUCAAUGGAUUCCUUUUCAAUGCUUAAAGCUUUUGGACUUGAUGCAUGCCUUGUUUGGUUGAAUAUUCUAUUUAAUGUUGUUUUGAUCAAUGAAUUGAAGUUGAUGAUGAUUUAACCUAGUAGUUGAGGUGUAGCUGGCUCCGAUUCCCUGUUUAAGGGAGAACCUACUCGGGUCCACUAUACUAUUAGUGAAAUUAAGGGAUUUAUCUGAGACUGUUAUUUGCUUUUGAUUAAAAAUUACGGCCCUGCUUGUAAUAUUCUAUUUGAUUAAGGCCUUUCAUCUUGAAUUGUCAAGAUUAAGAUACAAGUGCAUUUUUGAUUUCACUCAAAAUGCCUGUGAUGAUACAAUCCGAUUUAUUUGAGGUGUAGUGGAGCCAAGCCCUGUUCUACAGGGGAACCUACUUGGCAGAAGCUGCAAGGCAUUGAUAUUAUUGGAUUCAACUGAGGCUGCAUAUUUGUCUACAAGUAGUUGUAGGUUGAUGGGUUUCUCGAAUUCUGAGGUUAAACUUUGAUAAUUGUGUAUGAAUUGAGUUUUAACUAUACUCUAUAUCCUCUGUAGUGGGUGUAGGGUCUGAAAAACUCAGAUAUGGAUGUGUUGUCAUCAGCUUCUUCUCUGGUAUAUUCACGAGAUUGGAGUUAAACUAACAGCACCACAAUUCUUUAAAUUAUAAUUAUCAUCUAGAAUCUAUUAUUUUAUGAAAUCAGUUUUUGAUAUUGAAUGGCUGCUUGCCUUUUCCCUAUUUGGUUACAGUAUGGUGAUCUAACAAUAUUUUUAAUCUUUGUGGCUACAGAAUUCCUGGCGGUAUUCAAAACUGAUGCAAUACUGUUUCUAAACUUCAACAAGAUUCUUACUAAAUUGCUAUUUCGGUUGGAACUUGAUCUUUAAGGCUGCAGUUUGAUGAGUUGAGCCAAUUCAGCUUGGUGUUCUUUUAUACUCGACUUGGAAAUGAGAUUGGAGUGAAAUUAUGGUCGCUUGAACUCAGUAAAACCAGGUUUGUCAUGUUUUCAAGUGAUGCCGAUGGAGAAUCACCAAAGCAUCCACUAUCAUUCAAAUAUAUAUAUAGCAUUGAAGAAGAAGAUUUGCAUAGUGCCAAGAAGAAUAGGAAGUUAAAAAAAGAUGGGUAGUCGAAAACAAGUAAGUGAGAUGGUGCCUUUCUUUCAUAUUUGGACUACCACUCUUUUCUCAUUCAACCGUGUCACCAGAAUAAUUAAAAAUGAAGAAGGUGUGGAUGUUAUAAUUU